This 1519-nucleotide long non-coding RNA is filed under the name Numida meleagris (helmeted guineafowl). RNAcentral describes it as "lncRNA (ENSNMEG00000017159.1)". Lineage: Eukaryota; Metazoa; Chordata; Aves; Galliformes; Numididae. The record is from RNAcentral.
GAAUACAGUGAUGUCACCACAAUAGUCAGUGAAGCUCUCCACUCCAUCUGAUGCAUUGUUUACUAAAACACAAAGACAUCACACUCAGUGAAGAGGGAGCAAGUCUGCAAAGGACUUCUGAUAGCAGAUACUCUGAUGUCCAACACUGAACUUCUCAGUUUAUGGGAAACAAAACACUCUCACUACCAAUACAAACUGGUGGAUGAAAGGAUUGAGCACAGCCCUGCCAAAGAAGACCUGGGGGCACUGGUGGAUGGGAAGCUGAACAUGAGCCAGCACUGUGCCCUCGCAGCCCAGAAAGCCAACCAUAUCCUGGGCUGCAUCAAAAGAAGCAUGGUCAGCAGGGAAAGGGAGGAUCCUGCCCCUCUACUCUGUGCUGGUGAGGUCUCACCUGGAGUAUUUGUCUACCAAUGCCAUCACACUCUCAUAGAAGGCCAACAUAUAAGUCUGGCACGAUCUGUCCUUGGUGAAGCUGUGCUGGCUGUCUUGGAUCACCUCCACAUCUCCUAUGUGCCUUAAUAUCUCUUCCAGGAGGAUCUGUUUCAUGAUCUUCCCAGGCACAGUUGUGAGGCUCAGCAGCCUGUGGUUCCCCAGGUCUUCCUUUCUCCCUUUCUCGAAUAUGGGAGUGACAUUUCCCUUUUUUCAAUCAUCAGGACUUCGCCUGGCAGAUGCUACUUUUCAAAUAUGAUGGAGAGUGGCUCGGCAAACACAUCAGCCAGCUCCUUCAGAACCCUGUGGUGCAUAUCAUCUGGUCCCAUAGACCUGUAAACAUUCAGCCUCAUGAGGUGGUCUCAGACUUGCUCCAUUCUUAUGGUAGGACUGAUUUUGCUCUCUGGACUUCUCCUUAAAAGUUCAAGGACACAAGAGGCAUGAGAAGCCUGACUGGCCAUGAAGACCGAGGCAAAGAACUCAUUAAUUAUCUCAGCCUUUUCCAUGUCUGAGGAAGCCAGCUCUCCCUUUUUGUUUAUCAGAGGGAGUACACUCUCCUUUGCCUGCCUCUUCUGCUCAACUUAUCUAAAGAAUCCCUUGUUGUUUUUUUUUCACAGCCCUCACCAAGUUCAAUCCCAUCUGUGCCUUGGCUUUCCUGACUCCAUCCUUGCAUAUCUGGACAGCAUCCCUAUAUUAUUCCCAGGCCACCAAGCCCCCUUCAACUGCUUAUACUUUAUCUUUUUUUCCCCUCAUCCUAACUAGUAGGUCCUUGCUCAGCCAUUCUGGUUUCCUGCCUCAUCUGCCUGAUUGAUGUUUUUACAUGAGCUGACUUCUCUAAAUUGGGCACUUCUAGAAAGAAAUCUUGGCAUGCUUUAUACAAUAUACCCAGACACUUGCUUUUAAAGAUUACUUUGCUGAUCCUUCCCAUAAUAUUCAGAUCAGGAUGCAUGAGAUUUUUCAACAGAAGGGAUAUAAAACAAUAGUUUAUUCUUAAUGCUACAUAAAACUGGUUCAGAUGUGGAUCGACUUACUAAAAGACAUACUUUUCCACUAUAGUAAUGCUGAAAUGGGGAAAAUACAUUCCUAAAUG